Betta splendens (Siamese fighting fish) is the source of this 1293-nucleotide long non-coding RNA. RefSeq lists it as uncharacterized. The record is from RefSeq and is a predicted model, not a curated record. Lineage: Eukaryota; Metazoa; Chordata; Actinopteri; Anabantiformes; Osphronemidae. The transcript has 3 exons.
UAUUGAUGAGGCUUCAUCCGCGAUCCCUCCCAUAAUAUUUAUCCCAUAAUAUUCGCCGAUUACAUUUAAAAGAUGCUGACAAGGGUUUACAGUCAGUUCAAACGUUUGUGAUAGCAACAACUGAUAUUGGGGAACUGAGGAAGCAUAUCCUAAUGGAUUGCAAGAUAAAGGGUUAAAGCAGCCGGCUGGAUGCGGUCAGGUACUGCGCUCAGGUAUCUGAAGGUGCAGUGCACCUCGGUGGGACCGUAGCAGACGCAUGGUUUGGGGCAGUCGCCGCUGCUCUGCAGCGCCGAAGCCAAGAACAGCAGAGCCUGGAGCAGACUCCUCCGCAGUUGACUCCUGAGUCCUGAGUGUGUGCGGAGCAGAGGGACUGGAGUCAUUGCUGCCUGAUGUGAUCGUUCCCUUUGGUCUCCUCCGCCCCCUGAAAACUGCUGUAAUCUAAUCCUACAGUAACUACAAUGACCCCAACUCAGGCAAGUCAGCUGACAAAACAUGCCAAAUAAUCUAUUCAGAUAUAUUUGGCUGCCGUCGUUUUUCAGCAGUCAUCUACUGUAAGUUGCAUGACUGUGUUGGACUGUGUAAUUUCUAUAAAGCAUGUUUUCCUGACGUGGUUUAUUAAGAUGUUAGGGGUUCUGUUCUGAGGAGGGUUGUCUCUACAGUACAGGAUGUCCAGUCAGGGCAAGUCUGGUAUUUUCUGCACUGGGUUUUGUAUUAUUUGAUGUUGUUUUUGUUGUUGUGCAGAGCAGAGCUAAUUAAUCUGGAUUCUUAUGAUAUCCCCAGCUUGGUUCCUAGAAUAUUCCAUUGUAGCUUUAUGUCCCCAACCUCUUGUGGAAAAAUGUUGAAAUGAAAAGUAAAAUCCAGUCACGAUUACUAAGGUUUUUAUUUAGUGUUUUCCACUAACAAUAGCCUGUUUCAAUCUUUUGUCUCAUUUUUGUGUUUUGCUUAUGGUCAGAGCCACAAACCAUUCAUCUCUCCAGGGGUUUAGUGUUUCAAAUACACAUUUUUUUUACCAGUUUGUUCAAUUUAAGCAAUCCCUUUGUUGUUUAUUAGAAUUUUUAGAGACACAGACUUUGCCUCCAUAAUCCUCCGUUCUCAUAUAGUUUUUAAAUUAAAUCUUUAUCUUCAGCAGCUAAUUAUUUGCCAAAAUAUGAGCUAACCUAUGUCCCAAAAUAAUGUUUGCAUGUCAUCUGCUUGUGGAUGACUCAUUGUUACUAUAACUGUCAGUGUUUCUGACUCACCCAUGUGUAAACACUAAAAAAAAAAGAAAUAAAUAAAUCACUAAUCAUCUUUAAA